UAGGGAAUCUUCCACAAUGGACGAAAGUCUGAUGGAGCAACGCCGCGUGUGUGAUGAAGGCUUUCGGGUCGUAAAGCACUGUUGUAUGGGAAGAACAGCUAGAAUAGGAAAUGAUUUUAGUUUGACGGUACCAUACCAGAAAGGGACGGCUAAAUACGUGCUAG
This 164-nucleotide ribosomal RNA is filed under the name uncultured bacterium. RNAcentral's name for it is "partial 16S rRNA". It matches the Rfam family "Bacterial small subunit ribosomal RNA", at positions 355 to 511 of the family's 1533-position model. The record is from RNAcentral.